This 516-nucleotide ribosomal RNA is filed under the name uncultured bacterium. Its description in RNAcentral is "partial 16S ribosomal RNA". It matches the Rfam family "Bacterial small subunit ribosomal RNA", at positions 28 to 523 of the family's 1533-position model. The record is from RNAcentral.
GAUGAACGCUGGCGGCGUGCCUAAUACAUGCAAGUCGAACGCAUUGAGAGAAGUGCUUGCACUUUUCAAUUUGAGUGGCGAACGGGUGAGUAACACGUGGGCAACCUACCUGAUAGCGGGGGAUAACGAGUGGAAACAUUCGCUAAUACCGCAUAACAAUAGAGAAGGCAUCUUCUUUAUUUAAAAGGCGCUUUCAAGCGUCACUAUCAGAUGGGCCCGCGGUGCAUGAGUUAGUUGGUGGGGUGAAGGCCUACCAAGACGAUGAUGCAUAGCCGAGUUGAGAGACUGAUCGGCCACAUUGGGACUGAGACACGGCCCAAACUCCUACGGGAGGCUGCAGUAGGGAAUCUUCCACAAUGGACGAAAGUCUGAUGGAGCAUCGUCGCGUGUGUGAUGAAGGCUUUCGGGUCGUAAAGCACUGUUGUAUGGGAAGAAAUGCUAGGCUAGGAAAUGAGCUUAGUUUGACGGUACCAUACCAGAAAGGGACGGCUAAAUACGUGCCAGCAGCCGCGGUAA